UGAGGAAUAUUGGUCAAUGGGGGCAACCCUGAACCAGCCAUGCCGCGUGAAGGAAGAAGGUCCUAAGGAUUGUAAACUUCUUUUGUACGGGGGUAAUUUUCGGCUCGUGAGCUGAAUUGAAAGUACUGUACGAAUAAGCAUCGGCUAACUCCGUGCCAGCAGCCGCGGUAAUACGGAGGAUGCGAGCGUUAUCCGGAUUUAUUGGGUUUAAAGGGUGCGUAGGCGGGUUUGUAAGUCAGUGGUGAAAGACUGUCGCUUAACGAUAGCAUUGCCAUUGAUACUGCAGAUCUUGAGUAUAUUUGAGGUAGGCGGAAUGUGUAGUGUAGCGGUGAAAUGCUUAGAUAUUACACAGAACACCAAUUGCGAAGGCAGCUUACUAAACUAUAACUGACGCUGAGGC
This 400-nucleotide ribosomal RNA is filed under the name uncultured bacterium. Its description in RNAcentral is "bacterial SSU rRNA". It matches the Rfam family "Bacterial small subunit ribosomal RNA", at positions 355 to 752 of the family's 1533-position model. The record is from RNAcentral.